UACGUAGGGAGCAAGCGUUGUCCGGAAUCAUUGGGCGUAAAGCGCGCGUAGGCGGCCCUGUAAGUCCGUUGUGAAAGUCAAAGGCUCAACCUUUGAAAGCCGAUGGAUACUGCAGGGCUAGAGUUCGGAAGAGGCGAGUGGAAUUCCUGGUGUAGCGGUGGAAUGCGCAGAUAUCAGGAGGAACACCGGUGGCGAAGGCGGGUCUCUGGGCCGAUACUGACGCUGAGGAGCGAAAGCGUGGGGAGCGAACAGG
RNAcentral lists this ribosomal RNA (253 nucleotides) under uncultured bacterium. RNAcentral describes it as "partial 16S ribosomal RNA". It matches the Rfam family "Bacterial small subunit ribosomal RNA", at positions 524 to 776 of the family's 1533-position model. The record is from RNAcentral.